GGGGCCGUAAAGGUUUCGACGGGGAUUUAGAAACGGAGUAAGCGAGCGGAAGCGCAUAACUUCCUAAAAAUGUGCACUUUAAAAUUAAACGCUAACAAUAACAAAUUAGCAGUAGCUGCUUAACGCAGCUUCCGUCGCACCCGAGAGUACCGCGGCUCGGGAUGCGGCGUCACUUAGCGGUGAACGUGUGUCGGGCAAAGCUUUGAGCCCUUCCAUGAACUAAUGAAGCUACCGUCCGAGUGAGCCUGUCUUUCGGCAUACUCGGUGGGGAAUCCUAAAGAAAGACUGCGCUCGGAGAAAGCACCGCGGACAGGUUUUCGGACAGGGGUUCGAUUCCCCUCGGCUCCACCA
Molecule: transfer-messenger RNA, 351 nt
Filed under: Eubacteriales
Lineage: Bacteria; Bacillati; Bacillota; Clostridia
Also listed under: 1 other name
Description: UBA1752 sp017629895 Standard tmRNA
Rfam family: transfer-messenger RNA
About the family: Bacterial tmRNA, also known as 10Sa RNA or SsrA, is named for its dual tRNA and mRNA-like properties. Its role is to liberate the mRNA from a stalled ribosome.
Source: RNAcentral